This 530-nucleotide ribosomal RNA is filed under the name uncultured bacterium. Its description in RNAcentral is "bacterial SSU rRNA". It matches the Rfam family "Bacterial small subunit ribosomal RNA", at positions 777 to 1304 of the family's 1533-position model. The record is from RNAcentral.
AAUAGAUACCCAGGUAGUCCACGCCGUAAACGAUGAGUGCUAAGUGUUAGAGGGUUUCCGCCCUUUAGUGCUGCAGCUAACGCAUUAAGCACUCCGCCUGGGGAGUACGGCCGCAAGGCUGAAACUCAAAGGAAUUGACGGGGGCCCGCACAAGCGGUGGAGCAUGUGGUUUAAUUCGAAGCAACGCGAAGAACCUUACCAGGUCUUGACAUCCUCUGCCAACCCUAGAGAUAGGGUGUUCCCCCUUCGGGGGACAGAGUGACAGGUGGUGCAUGGUUGUCGUCAGCUCGUGUCGUGAGAUGUUGGGUUAAGUCCCGCAACGAGCGCAACCCUUGAUCUUAGUUGCCAGCAUUUAGUUGGGCACUCUAAGGUGACUGCCGGUGACAAACCGGAGGAAGGUGGGGAUGACGUCAAAUCAUCAUGCCCCUUAUGACCUGGGCUACACACGUGCUACAAUGGAUGGUACAAAGAGCUGCGAACCCGCGAGGGUAAGCCAAUCUCAUAAAGCCAUUCUCAGUUCGGAUUGUAGG